UAGGGAAUCUUCGGCAAUGGACGAAAGUCUGACCGAGCAACGCCGCGUGAGUGAAGAAGGUUUUCGGAUCGUAAAACUCUGUUGUUAGAGAAGAACAAGGACGUUAGUAACUGAACGUCCCCUGACGGUAUCUAACCAGAAAGCCACGGCUAACUACAUGCCAGCAGCCGCGGUAAUACGUAGGUGGCAAGCGUUGUCCGGAUUUAUUGGGCGUAAAGCGAGCGCAGGCGGUUUCUUAAGUCUGAUGUGAAAGCCCCGGCUCAACCGGGGAGGGUCAUUGGAAACUGGGAGACUUGAGUGCAGAAGAGGAGAGUGGAAUUCCAUGUGUAGCGGUGAAAUGCGUAGAUAUAUGGAGGAACACCAGUGGCGAAGGCGGCUCUCUGGUCUGUAACUGACGCUGAGGCUCGAAAGCGUGGGGAGCAAACAGG
RNAcentral lists this ribosomal RNA (428 nucleotides) under Gemmatimonadota bacterium. Its description in RNAcentral is "Gemmatimonadetes bacterium partial 16S ribosomal RNA". It matches the Rfam family "Bacterial small subunit ribosomal RNA", at positions 355 to 776 of the family's 1533-position model. The record is from RNAcentral. Lineage: Bacteria; Pseudomonadati; Gemmatimonadota.